RNAcentral lists this long non-coding RNA (996 nucleotides) under Carica papaya (papaya). RNAcentral's name for it is "long non-coding RNA (CPAP_LNC015338)". Lineage: Eukaryota; Viridiplantae; Streptophyta; Magnoliopsida; Brassicales; Caricaceae. The record is from RNAcentral.
UUUAGUUACUUAAUGUUCAAGUUAGGAUCUGAUAUUUUGGAAGCUGUUGUCAAUGAGAAUCCAUUUGGUUAACGUAAAAAAAGAACUUGGGGGAACUGGGUUACAUAUACCCAAUCUAGAUGUACUUGGUUAACUCAUAAGUGGAUAACCAAAUCAGAUUUUGUCGACUGUAUAGCCAUCUGAAUCGAUCAGUCUGGAUAGACUUUAAUCGAUAGAGGUUCAGUUUUCUGGGGUUGAUAGAUUUUCUACUUUGGUGCAAUAUAAAUUAUUGAUUGACAAACUUAGCUGCUAUUUUGAAAAUGUCAGGAGGAUCCUGAAAAAUUGUUUGGUAGAGGCAAGGGGGUCUUUUCCAGUCGAUGAACAAAUUAAUUCCCUUUGCUAAGAGGGAUAGAUUUGAGUUACUCCUCCCUGGUUCAUUAACCAACUGCAGAUUAUGUAAGAGCUUAGUGUUAAAUAAUAAAAUUGUGACUAAUCAUUCUAAAAAUUUAAGCUGAUGAGAAAUGGUGUAGUAUAUUAUUUGUAAAUUAAUAUAAUCUUCCUAUGCUGAGGUGCGCUAGGAAUCAAGUACAAAUUCUCUUUAUCUUGUGCUAAAAAUAAUUUAAUAUAAAUUAGAGGUUUUUGUCAAUCGUUGCAGGACUUGGCAUGGCUGAACGUAUUGCAUUACGAUGUGGUCCUCAAUAAGGUAUAUGGUAGUAGCGUAUAAGAUAACUGUCAGUAAUUAAAUGUAAGGUGGAAGACAUAUUUAUGCAUUUAUAAGCUAGCAGCUUUUUUGUCUUCACCUUCUCUAGCUUUGUAUGGAUGUAAAUGGUUUGGGACCCUGUAUUUCAACUAAGGUUUAUGAUCUUCUGCAAUUAUUUUUAUUUUUUUUCUAAAAUGAAAAUAUUAGGUUUGAUUAUUCAUCUUUUUUUAAUAAAUUUUAUAUUUAUUAUUAUUUUGUUAAAUAUGUAGAUUUUAUUUUGAUUUAUUCUCUUUUUCUACUUUUUUUUAAGUAUUUUU